Armigeres subalbatus is the source of this 571-nucleotide long non-coding RNA. RefSeq lists it as uncharacterized. Lineage: Eukaryota; Metazoa; Arthropoda; Insecta; Diptera; Culicidae. The record is from RefSeq and is a predicted model, not a curated record. The transcript is spliced from 4 exons.
CCCAGAGUAACUUUCUGUGAGAGGUUAGACUCUGGUUAGAAUAUGUUAGCUCAAAACAAAGAAAAGAAAACGCGUGUAGUUUCUGUGUCUCUUGAUCUUGCAUCUCAGCGCAUCUGAAUCUGCAGAAUCUCAAUGGAUCGCAAUGGAUCAUUGGUAAAUAAAGCCGGCAUUGGAUGGAGACAGUAUCUUGUCGUGAAGCGAAAGAUCGAAGGACCGAGGCCCGAGAAAAUUUCAUUUCGGUAACGCUGGUUGGAUUCUGAGAAACCAUGCAUCGGGCGAAACGGAAACAUUUGUACCGAAAAUUGGAAACACACAAGGAACGCUGGAUGGAUUAAGUUUAGUCAGGAGAGCUGUUGUUGAAUAGGAAGGAUCCCAGGUCGUUGGACACUGGCCUUGCUACACAUCUCGAAAUGCAAUGUGUGAUGCAACUAUAAUUUCCUAUAGUCUAUACAUUAUAAAACACGGGAGGAUAAAGAUAAAAUUAUAGUUUCAUAAUACAUUACCUUAAUUAAGCUAAAUGUGGUUAAUCUACAUGUAUAACAAUUAUUUUGGUAAAUAUAGAAAAUUUCUA